GUAGGUGGCAAGCGUUGUCCGGAAUUAUUGGGCGUAAAGCGCGCGCAGGCGGUUCUUUAAGUCUGAUGUGAAGCCCACGGGCUCAACCGUGGAGGGUCAUUGGAAACUGGAGAACUUGAGUACAGAAGAGGAAAGCGGAAUUCCACGUGUAGCGGUGAAAUGCGUAGAGAUGUGGAGGAACACCAGUGGCGAAGGCGGCUUUCUGGUCUGUAACUGACGCUGAGGCGCGAAAGCGUGGGGAGCAAACAGGAUUAGAUACCCUGGUAGUCCACGCCGUAAACGAUGAGUGCUAAGUGUUAGGGGGUUUCCGCCCCUUAGUGCUGCAGCUAACGCAUUAAGCACUCCGCCUGGGGAGUACGGCCGCAAGGCUG
RNAcentral lists this ribosomal RNA (371 nucleotides) under uncultured organism. RNAcentral describes it as "partial 16S ribosomal RNA". It matches the Rfam family "Bacterial small subunit ribosomal RNA", at positions 527 to 896 of the family's 1533-position model. The record is from RNAcentral.